Molecule: long non-coding RNA, 418 nt
Filed under: Paramuricea clavata
Lineage: Eukaryota; Metazoa; Cnidaria; Anthozoa; Malacalcyonacea; Plexauridae
Source: RNAcentral
GGUAAACUACGUGAAGCGUUCCUCUUUUGACUUCGUAACUCAUUCGGAAUUUUCCUCAUUAGCUUUGCAAAUUUGAAAAACUCUUUGCAAAUCCCUUGAGGGAAUUUGCAAUGUUCCUAUCGGCUGUUGCAAUUUUCCAAACUUCAUUUAAAAUUUUCCUAACUUCCUGUUUUAAUUUCUUAAUUUCCUGUUCUGAGCGUUGUUAUUGGUCGAUUAUUUUUGUUAGCCAAUUACAACGCCCAGAGCAGAACAGGAAGUUAGGAACAUGUAACAGGAAGUUAAGAACUUCUAACAGGAACUGAGGAAAAUUUUUUGGCUUUUAGCAACAUUGCAAAUUCCCUCAAGCGAUUUGCAAGGGAGUUUUUUAAAUUGCAAAAGUAAUGAGGAAAAUUGCAAUCAAUUUAGAAACUCAAAAGAG